Molecule: long non-coding RNA, 1126 nt
Organism: Nomascus leucogenys (northern white-cheeked gibbon)
Lineage: Eukaryota; Metazoa; Chordata; Mammalia; Primates; Hylobatidae
Exons: 4
Source: RefSeq, a predicted model, not a curated record
ACUGCUAAAUUUAGACAGCCCACUGCGCAGCCACUAGCUAAUUAUCUGUUUAGAUAGCACUUUAACACGUUGUUGAGACUCAGUUAAAUGUUAAACAACCAAAAUUUUAAUAUCACUAGCCAAUUUCAUUCCCCCAGGUUUUCCCUGAUGGCUCCACAUCUCCAAGAAAACAUCUUCACCUAAAGAUGUCAAAGCACAGGCUCACUUCCCACGGAAGGUGGCAAUUACUAUUAUCUGCUUGACAGCUCCAAGAACCUAGGCACAGAGGUUAAGUGCUCUGCAAAUACUACCAGCCAGUGAUGGUUUUCCUGCCAGAACCAAGUUCUUGCCUUCCAGUGGACACCAUUGACCUGUCAAGAUUAUUCUUUAAGUUAAAAAGAGCUGAAAGCCUGCAAACUAUAUUUUGUUAAGUCUUUGGUAAACACAUUUCAUAUUAAUUUCUGUUACAGGACAGCAGAAAUAGGCACAGUGCCUCCAACAUAUCAAAGGAAAGUAAAGGCUAGUGGAAGGGGAUAACAGCUUCCUGACCUCCAGGCACGAAGGGCCUCAAAACCACAUUAAAAUUUAAGAUUGAUAUGCUCUUCUGCUUCUGAAUGUGAGAACCUAUACUGGAUCUCUGAAGAAAACAAAGAUGAGAUGAGGUUCUGAUCCCUUCGACUUCAUGAAGUUACGUGACAGAAAGUAUGAUUGUCUAGCCGAUACUUGACUGUGUGAAACCUUCAUCUUCUACUCCUGAAUCCUGAGGGACAGACUCAGGGGCCCUCUGACUCACGAUUAGGGUUGUCAGGGUGAUACAACACCAAGACCAUAGCCUUUGGUGUCGGAAUACCAAGGUUUGAAGCUCAGUUUCCCCACUCACUAAUUUUCAAUGAGCACAUACAUAAUUUGAAAUCUGAAAAUGGACAAUAAUGCCUACCUACUUCAAAAAUUUGGUUUGAGAAUCAAGUGAAAUAUUAAUAUAUAUGUAAGCAUUUUAUGAACAAGGAAGCAAGUUAUAAAUGCAUUAUCUUGUUAAUUUAGUCGUUUCACUAGGGGUGGGUCCAAUGUGGGCCUCCUUUGAGGUAGACUGUAUUUCAUGAUUUUAUAACAAAAUUCUAAAGUUUAACAAGGACAGUAUCUGGAAAAA